Non-coding RNA from Desmophyllum pertusum, 74 nucleotides. NCBI's taxonomy places the organism in Eukaryota, Metazoa, Cnidaria, Anthozoa, Scleractinia, Caryophylliidae. The record is from the annotation of a GenBank genome assembly.
GACAUGGUGGCCUAAUGGUUAGAGCUGUGGACUCUGGAUUGAGUGGUCUGGGUUCGAGCCAGUAGCCGGGGUCA